This 85-nucleotide transfer RNA is filed under the name Merluccius polli (Benguela hake). RNAcentral describes it as "tRNA-Leu". Lineage: Eukaryota; Metazoa; Chordata; Actinopteri; Gadiformes; Merlucciidae. The record is from RNAcentral.
GUCAGGAGUGGCCGAGCGGUCCUAAGGCGCCUGCGUUCAGGUCGCAGUCUCCCUGGGAGGCGUGGGUUCGAAUCCACUUCUGACA